Molecule: ribosomal RNA, 252 nt
Filed under: uncultured bacterium
Lineage: Bacteria
Description: partial 16S ribosomal RNA
Rfam family: Bacterial small subunit ribosomal RNA
Source: RNAcentral
UACGUAGGUCCCGAGCGUUAUCCGGAUUUAUUGGGCGUAAAGCGAGCGCAGGUGGUUUAUUAAGUCUGGUGUAAAAGGCAGUGGCUCAACCAUUGUAUGCAUUGGAAACUGGUAGACUUGAGUGCAGGAGAGGAGAGUGGAAUUCCAUGUGUAGCGGUGAAAUGCGUAGAUAUACGGAGGAACACCGGUGGCGAAAGCGGCUCUCUGGCCUGUAACUGACACUGAGGCUCGAAAGCGUGGGGAGCAAACAGG